Molecule: ribosomal RNA, 46 nt
Filed under: Ficus tikoua
Lineage: Eukaryota; Viridiplantae; Streptophyta; Magnoliopsida; Rosales; Moraceae
Description: partial 18S ribosomal RNA
Source: RNAcentral
CGGAAGGAUCAUUGUCGAGACCUGCCCAGCAGAGAGACCCGCGAAC